GGGCCCGCACAAGCGGUGGAGCAUGUGGUUUAAUUCGACGCAACGCGAAGAACCUUACCUGGCUCUUGACAUCCUGCGAACUUUCUAGAGAUAGAUUGGUGCCUUCGGGAACGCAGUGACAGGUGCUGCAUGGCUGUCGUCAGCUCGUGUCGUGAGAUGUUGGGUUAAGUCCCGUAACGAGCGCAACCCUUGUCCUUAUUUGCCAUCAUUUAGUUGGGCACUCUAGGGAGACUGCCGGUGACAAACCGGAGGAAGGUGGGGGACGACGUCAAGUCAUCAUGGCCCUUACGACCAGGGCUACACACGUGCUACAAUGGGGCGUACAAAGGGUUGCAAUCCCGCGAGGGGAG
RNAcentral lists this ribosomal RNA (350 nucleotides) under uncultured bacterium. RNAcentral's name for it is "bacterial SSU rRNA". It matches the Rfam family "Bacterial small subunit ribosomal RNA", at positions 917 to 1266 of the family's 1533-position model. The record is from RNAcentral.